Molecule: ribosomal RNA, 520 nt
Filed under: uncultured Glomus
Lineage: Eukaryota; Fungi; Glomeromycota; Glomeromycetes; Glomerales; Glomeraceae
Description: SSU rRNA
Rfam family: Eukaryotic small subunit ribosomal RNA
Source: RNAcentral
AGCAGCCGCGGUAAUUCCAGCUCCAAUAGCGUAUAUUAAAGUUGUUGCAGUUAAAAAGCUCGUAGUUGAAUUUCGGGGUCAGUAAGUUGGUCGUGCCACUGGUAUGCACUGGCUUUACUGACUCCUCCUUCUUGAAGAACUGUGAUGCCAUUAAUUUGGUGUUGCAGGGAAACAGGACUGUUACUUUGAAAAAAUUAGAGUGUUUAAAGCAGGCUAACGCUUGAAUACAUUAGCAUGGAAUAAUGAAAUAGGACGUUUGACCCUAUUUUGUUGGUUUCUAGGAUCGACGUAAUGAUUAAUAGGGAUAGUUGGGGGCAUUAGUAUUCAAUUGUCAGAGGUGAAAUUCUUGGAUUUAUUGAAGACUAACUACUGCGAAAGCAUUUGCCAAGGAUGUUUUCAUUAAUCAAGAACGAAAGUUAGGGGAUCGAGGACGAUCAGAUACCGUCGUAGUCUUAACCAUAAACUAUGCCGACUAGGGAUCGGAUGAUGUUAAUUUUUAAUGUACUCAUUCGGCGCCUUA